This 423-nucleotide ribosomal RNA is filed under the name uncultured bacterium. RNAcentral describes it as "bacterial SSU rRNA". It matches the Rfam family "Bacterial small subunit ribosomal RNA", at positions 358 to 773 of the family's 1533-position model. The record is from RNAcentral.
GGAAUAUUGGACAAUGGGGGCAACCCUGAUCCAGCGACGCCGCGUGUGUGAAGAAGGCCUGCGGGUUGUAAAGCACUUUUAGUGGGGAUGAAAAGCUCAGGGUUAAUACCUCUGGGUCUUGACCUAACCCACAGAAAAAGCACCGGCUAACUCUGUGCCAGCAGCCGCGGUAAUACGGAGGGUGCGAGCGUUGUUCGGAAUCACUGGGCGUAAAGCGCGUGUAGGCGGCCUGCUAAGUCUGAUGUGAAAGCCCGAGGCUCACCCUCGGAAGUGCAUUGGAAACUGGCAGACUGGAGUCCCGGAGAGGAGAGUGGAAUUCCUGGUGUAGCGGUGAAAUGCGUAGAUAUCAGGAGGAACACCGGUGGCGAAGGCGGCUCUCUGGACGGUGACUGACGCUGAGACGCGAAAGCGUGGGGAGCAAAC